CAGUUGGUUAAGUGUCAGACUCUGGGUUUCGGCUCAGGUAGUGAUCUCACAGUUCAUGAGAGUGAGUCCCAUGUUGGGCUCUGCGAUGACAGCACAGAGCCUGCUUGAGAGUCUCUCUCUCUCUCUCUCUCUCUCUCUCUCUCUCUCUCUCUCCCUCUCUCUCUGCCCCUCCCCUACUUGUGCUGUCUCUGUCUCCCUCCAAAUAAACAAACAAACAAACAAACAAACAAACAAAAAAGAUAGAAUGAGAUCAGCAGCAAAAAUUCCAACACAAUCAACCAACUGCCAAAUGACAUCUGCUGAUUAAGUCUGCUAUUGCAGAUUCUGCUCUUGCUUCCCAGGAGCAGCUGAGACAUCGUGACCAGAAAUACCAAUCAAGUUUUGUAUUAAGCUUCACUAAGACAAAUCGGGAGCUACUGAUGACACCGGAAAGAACCUGAUAAUGGAGUCGACAUGAAUGAAAACAGAGCUGAAAGCUGACAGCUACAGAUCGGAGAGAUUCCAGAGUACAUCAGCUAAGCACCUGGACCCAGCCAUAUCUGAAGUCCAGUAAUAUUUGUGGACGUGGGAGUUGCUUGCAAUGGGAGCAAGAGGGAUGUUUGUACAGCUAACAGCAUAGGAAGACAGACGUAAUACAGCUGAAAGCAGAUUUGCUGACCAGGAUGAUAAAGGACAUGCCUCCUCCCAAGGCAGAGAUCGGGUAGCAUCUUUAUGA
Neofelis nebulosa (Clouded leopard) is the source of this 715-nucleotide long non-coding RNA. RefSeq lists it as uncharacterized. The record is from RefSeq and is a predicted model, not a curated record. Lineage: Eukaryota; Metazoa; Chordata; Mammalia; Carnivora; Felidae. The transcript is spliced from 3 exons.